RNAcentral lists this long non-coding RNA (425 nucleotides) under Carica papaya (papaya). RNAcentral describes it as "long non-coding RNA (CPAP_LNC010192)". Lineage: Eukaryota; Viridiplantae; Streptophyta; Magnoliopsida; Brassicales; Caricaceae. The record is from RNAcentral.
CGUAGCACGCUGUGCGGGGGCGUGCGCACACGACCAAGUGCAAGGCGUGCGCACUAGGCGCACGACCCAUUCAAAUGGGGUGAUGGACUGGUCUGUGAGCACGUCAUGUCUUGUGCAGAUAGGCCAAUCUGCGCGCCUCACAAAGCACACAGACAGGGCCAGGUGUCGUACCCUGUGCGCGCGCUGUCCAUGCAGUAGGCCUGCACUGAUAGGCCUACGUGCCUUUGCCUGUGUGCAGUAGGCUUGCCCAUAGUGCCCUGUGCGUUGUAGGCUCUACGCACGCAUACUAGCUUUGUGUGAUGCAGAGUAGCCGACCCUUGCAGCUAGCCUAGAGCCCGCGACUGACUUGGUAAAGCGCACUAUUACCUUGGGCAGUGUGUCGUUGCCCCCUUGGGGGUCGUGCGCUACCUUGGGCAUUGUGCUAC